RNAcentral lists this ribosomal RNA (685 nucleotides) under Escherichia sp. Gmqp6. RNAcentral's name for it is "bacterial SSU rRNA". It matches the Rfam family "Bacterial small subunit ribosomal RNA", at positions 793 to 1478 of the family's 1533-position model. RNAcentral also lists the same sequence under 3 other names. Lineage: Bacteria; Pseudomonadati; Pseudomonadota; Gammaproteobacteria; Enterobacterales; Enterobacteriaceae. The record is from RNAcentral.
GUCCACGCCGUAAACGAUGUCGACUUGGAGGUUGUGCCCUUGAGGCGUGGCUUCCGGAGCUAACGCGUUAAGUCGACCGCCUGGGGAGUACGGCCGCAAGGUUAAAACUCAAAUGAAUUGACGGGGGCCCGCACAAGCGGUGGAGCAUGUGGUUUAAUUCGAUGCAACGCGAAGAACCUUACCUGGUCUUGACAUCCACGGAAGUUUUCAGAGAUGAGAAUGUGCCUUCGGGAACCGUGAGACAGGUGCUGCAUGGCUGUCGUCAGCUCGUGUUGUGAAAUGUUGGGUUAAGUCCCGCAACGAGCGCAACCCUUAUCCUUUGUUGCCAGCGGUCCGGCCGGGAACUCAAAGGAGACUGCCAGUGAUAAACUGGAGGAAGGUGGGGAUGACGUCAAGUCAUCAUGGCCCUUACGACCAGGGCUACACACGUGCUACAAUGGCGCAUACAAAGAGAAGCGACCUCGCGAGAGCAAGCGGACCUCAUAAAGUGCGUCGUAGUCCGGAUUGGAGUCUGCAACUCGACUCCAUGAAGUCGGAAUCGCUAGUAAUCGUGGAUCAGAAUGCCACGGUGAAUACGUUCCCGGGCCUUGUACACACCGCCCGUCACACCAUGGGAGUGGGUUGCAAAAGAAGUAGGUAGCUUAACCUUCGGGAGGGCGCUUACCACUUUGUGAUUCAUGACUGG